AGUGAACGCUGGCGGCGUGCCUAAUACAUGCAAGUCGAACGGAGUGGCGCACGGGUGAGUAAUAUAUAGCUAAUCUGCCCCUUGCUGGAGGACAACAGUUAGAAAUGACUGCUAAUACUCCAUAGCAAGGGAUGAGACUCUAUCGUAUCAGCUAGUCGGUGGGGUAACGGCCUACCGAGGCUAUGACGCGUAACUGGUCUGAGAGGAUGAUCAGUCGAAUUGGAACUGAGACACGGUUCAAACACCUAGGGGAGGCAGCAGUAGGGUAUAGUGCGCAAGGGGGGAAACCCUGAAGCAGCAACGCCGCGUGGAGGAUGAUAAUUUGCGGAGAGGAAACUCAUUUUGUUAGGGAAGCGGUACCUAACGAAUAAGCACCGGCUAACUCCGUGCCAGCAGCCGCGGUAAUUC
RNAcentral lists this ribosomal RNA (408 nucleotides) under uncultured bacterium. RNAcentral describes it as "partial 16S ribosomal RNA". It matches the Rfam family "Bacterial small subunit ribosomal RNA", at positions 29 to 526 of the family's 1533-position model. The record is from RNAcentral.